AUUCUGUCUUUAAUUAUUUUUUUAUGAAAUUACUCUUAGAAAGUGAAAAUACUUUCAGAAUAUAUAAUAGACGAGAAGACCCUAUAAAUUUAUCAUAAAAGUUACUCUUAGUUGUAUUACUAUUUUUGUUGGGGCAACAGCUUACCAUUAAUAAAAUAAUAUAUAAUGUAAGUAAAUUACUAAAUAUACUCAUACAAUAAUCCAAGUAUUACUAUUAAUAAAGAAAUUACUUUAGGGAUAACAGCAUAAUUUAAUUAAAAAGAUUGUGACCUCGAUGUUGGACUAG
Molecule: ribosomal RNA, 286 nt
Filed under: Idyla bicristata
Lineage: Eukaryota; Metazoa; Mollusca; Gastropoda; Stylommatophora; Clausiliidae
Description: partial 16S ribosomal RNA
Source: RNAcentral